Molecule: non-coding RNA, 47 nt
Filed under: Schistosoma curassoni
Lineage: Eukaryota; Metazoa; Platyhelminthes; Trematoda; Strigeidida; Schistosomatidae
Source: RNAcentral
AUCAGCUGACGAGUCCCAAAUAAGACAACGUGACGCGUGUCCUGGAU